RNAcentral lists this ribosomal RNA (254 nucleotides) under uncultured bacterium. RNAcentral's name for it is "partial 16S ribosomal RNA". It matches the Rfam family "Bacterial small subunit ribosomal RNA", at positions 524 to 776 of the family's 1533-position model. The record is from RNAcentral.
UACGUAGGGGGCGAGCGUUGUCCGGAUUUAUUGGGCGUAAAGAGCUCGUAGGCGGCUCGGUAAGUCGGAUGUGAAAUCUCCACGCUCAACGUGGAGGGGCCAUUCGAUACUGCCGUGACUCGAGUCCGGUAGGGGAGUGUGGAAUUCCCGGUGUAGCGGUGAAAUGCGCAGAGAUCGGGAGGAACACCAGAGGCGAAGGCGGCGAACUGGACGAUAACUGACACUCAAUUGCGAAAGCGUGGGGAGCAAACAGG